CAUGCUUAAUUAUUCUGUACAUACAUUUGAGGGAACAUUGAGAGGAAUUACGAGGGGUAGAUGAAUAAUUAAAUUGAUUCAGAAUUGUGAAAUGACUUUUUUUGUAAAUUGAUUUCAUUUCUUCUAUUUCAAAGACUUGUGAGUGGUAGUCUUGAUUAUACUCCUUUAUGAGUAGUUAAAUUGGUUCCGAGUUGUGAAAUG
This 201-nucleotide long non-coding RNA is filed under the name Phoenix dactylifera (date palm). RNAcentral describes it as "long non-coding RNA (PDAC_LNC020180)". The record is from RNAcentral. Lineage: Eukaryota; Viridiplantae; Streptophyta; Magnoliopsida; Arecales; Arecaceae.